GGUCAAGCUAAUAAGGGCGCAAGGGGAAUGCCUUGGCAUUGGAAGCCGAUGAAGGACGUAGCGAUCUACGAAAAGCCCCGGGGAGGCGAAAGCAGCCAUCGAUCCGAGGAUAUCCGAAUGGGGAAACCCGGCGGAGCAAUACUCCGUCAUCCUUUUGUGAAUCCAUAGCAACUGGAAGGGAACCGCCUGAACUGAAACAUCUAAGUAGGGCGAGGAAGAGAAAUCAACCGAGAUUCCGCUAGUAGUGGCGAGCGAACGCGGAAGAGGCCAAACCAAGAGUAGUAAUACUUUUGGGGUUUUGGACAGCGUACGGUAUUAACUGCGGUUAGUAGAAUGAAAUGGGAAGUUCAACCACAGAGCGUGAUAGUCGCGUACACGAAAACUAAAGUUAGCCAGCUGGAUCCAGAGUACCGCCGGACACGUGAAACCCGGUGGGAAGACGGGGGGACCACCCUCCAAGCCUAAAUACUCUCCAAUGACCGAUAGUGUAUAGUACUGUGAAGGAAAGGUGAAAAGAACCCCUGGCGGGGAGUGAAAUAGAACCUGAAACCUUGUGCCUACAAGCACAUAGAGCGCGUCAAUGCGUGAUAUGGUACCUUUUGUAGAAUGGUCCGGCGAGUGAAUGUCACUGGCAAGGUUAAGCUCUUAAGGAGUGCAGCCGAAGCGAAAGCGAGUCUGAAAUGGGCGUUUUUAGUCAGUGGUAUUCGACCCGAAACCGGGUGACCUAGCCAUGAGCAGGCUGAAGUGGAGGUAAAACUCCAUGGAGGGCCGAACCCACUCCCGUUGAAAUGGUAGGGGAUGACUUGUGGCUAGCGGAGAAAUUCCAAUCGAACCCGGAGAUAGCUGGUUCUCUCCGAAAUAGCUUUAGGGCUAGCCUCAAUUAACAUUACCGCAGGUAAAGCACUGAAUGAGCUAGGGGGCGAAAGCUUACUGAACUCUAUCAAACUCAGAAUGGCGGAUAAUGAAUGAUUGGGAGUCACACUACGUGAGAUAAGUUUCGUGGUGGAAAGGGAAACAGCCCAGACCCACAGCUAAGGUCCCAAAGUACAGUUAAGUGGAAAAGGAUGUGAAAUUGCGCAGACAACCAGGAUGUUGGCUCAGAAGCAGCCACUCAUUCAAAGAGUGCGUAAUAGCUCACUGGUCGAGUGGUUUUGCGCAGAAAAUGUAACGGGGCUAAGUGUUCAACCGAAGCUUAGGCAUUGCAGUAAUGCAUUGGGUAGGGGAGCGUCGUAUGCGGGGC
This 1240-nucleotide ribosomal RNA is filed under the name Clostridia bacterium. RNAcentral's name for it is "partial 23S ribosomal RNA". It matches the Rfam family "Bacterial large subunit ribosomal RNA", at positions 1 to 1251 of the family's 2925-position model. Lineage: Bacteria; Bacillati; Bacillota; Clostridia. The record is from RNAcentral.